UGAAAGAUGGAUUUGCGGCGGAGGGUGAGUACACGUGGGUAACCUGCCUGUAAGACUGGGAUAACUCCGGGAAACCGGAGCUAAUACCGGAUAGUUCCUUGAACCGCAUGGUUCAAGGAUGAAAGACGGUUUCGGCUGUCACUUACAGAUGGACCCGCGGCGCAUUAGCUAGUUGGUGAGGUAACGGCUCACCAAGGCGACGAUGCGUAGCCGACCUGAGAGGGUGAUCGGCCACACUGGGACUGAGACACGGCCCAGACUCCUACGGGAGGCAGCAGUAGGGAAUCUUCCGCAAUGGACGAAAGUCUGACGGAGCAACGCCGCGUGAGUGAUGAAGGUUUUCGGAUCGUAAAGCUCUGUUGUUAGGGAAGAACAAGUGCAAGAGUAACUGCUUGCACCUUGACGGUACCUAACCAGAAAGCCACGGCUAACUACGUGCCAGCAGCCGCGGUAAUACGUAGGUGGCAAGCGUUGUCCGGAAUUAUUGGGCGUAAAGGGCUCGCAGGCGGUUUCUUAAGUCUGAUGUGAAAGCCCCCGGCUCAACCGGGGAGGGUCUGG
RNAcentral lists this ribosomal RNA (558 nucleotides) under Bacillus pumilus. RNAcentral describes it as "bacterial SSU rRNA". It matches the Rfam family "Bacterial small subunit ribosomal RNA", at positions 81 to 629 of the family's 1533-position model. The record is from RNAcentral. Lineage: Bacteria; Bacillati; Bacillota; Bacilli; Caryophanales; Bacillaceae.